Molecule: long non-coding RNA, 1007 nt
Organism: Xyrauchen texanus (razorback sucker)
Lineage: Eukaryota; Metazoa; Chordata; Actinopteri; Cypriniformes; Catostomidae
Exons: 6
Source: RefSeq, a predicted model, not a curated record
GCUCACGAGUACUUCAAAACAACAAUGGCGGAAAACAGGGGCCUGUUUCAGAAAGGAGGUUCAACCAACUCUGAGUAAAAACUUGAACUCUGAGUUGACUUACCCUGAGAUGGAAAACUCUGAGUUUUCAGUUACAGAACAGCUGAAAUUAGUUCGUUCAAUCAACUCUAAGUUGACUGACUCUGAGUUAAGCGAGUGCACCACAACUAUAAAAAGCCAUUAGCAAUGGAGCGCAGAUAUUAUGAGUCACCAUGGCAGCAGCGGCGAAGGACAGAGAGUUAGCUUGGGAGAAAAUAGCUGCUCGAGUCAAUGCGUGCAAUCCUGCAGGCAUUAAAAGAACGUGGCAGCAGCUGAAAAUGAAAUAUAAAAACAUAAUUCAAUCAGCCAACAGAAAGAAGGCAGAGGCUCGUAAAACAGGGGGAGGACCUGCACCACCACCUCUGACAAAUGCAGAAGAGAUGGCCCUGAGCCUGAAUGCUGGAAGGCCAAUGGCUGAGGGAAUUCCUGGAGGGACUUCAUCAGAGUCAGUCACUCCUGAAGAUUGAAGUGCCUUCAUAAAAUCCUCCUGUCCCAACAGAACCCCAGGCAGUUGAUGAUGGGGAUGAAGAAACAGUUUCUACUGCCACAGAGAGGCCUACAGAGAGUGUGGAAGAACAGCAGGAGGAAGGUCCAUCGACUUCUGGUGCACAGAUGAACACAGUUCAGUGAUUUUCAGUAAAUGCCACAGUUUAAUUAUGUAGAAUUUGUUUAGAACUACAUGAUGUAACUCCAAUCUACUGUAUUUUCAGUUGCCAGUUAAGGAGUUAUAUAGACUUCAUCUUAUUAAAUUAAAAAAAAAAAAAAAGCAAAGAACUUAUAUACUUGGAUCGCCAGAUCCAAAAGGCAGAUCUGGAAAUCGAGAUUCUGAAACUAAAGCUAGAGGUGAGUGUAUGGUCACAGGUUAAUUCUAGGAAGUAUUGAAACUAUAUUAAAAUCUAACUGUUUUUGAAUUUGUAGGAAAUAAAGAA